Molecule: small RNA, 731 nt
Filed under: Pongo abelii (Sumatran orangutan)
Lineage: Eukaryota; Metazoa; Chordata; Mammalia; Primates; Hominidae
Description: processed transcript
Source: RNAcentral
CAGUGAGGACCUGUCCGUCUCUGGCACGGGGUGUCUGAUUCUCCUUCGCUGUGGCGGGAAGCUGGCCGGAUUUGAAGGCCUCCACUGCUCACUGCUGUGCCUUGAUCAGCCUGGACAAGCCCGCCUACACCUCCAUCAUGCCCAGUGUGAAGAGGGGCCAGGGACCCACCACUCCUGAGAACAGCAUCCUUGGGAAGACCCAGCUGUGAGUGCACAGCAGGCACAGUCCCUCAGGCCCAGAUUGCUGACAGAACUGGAAUCUCCUGCUUGGUGGCCCUUUAGCUCCAAGCUUUGGAAGACACCACCGGAAACAAAGCCCAGGGAAGAUGUCUCCAUGACCAGUUGUGAACCCUUUGGGAAAGAAGGGAUACUGAUAAAAAUUCCUGCCAUUAUUUCCCACAGAACAGAGUCUCACGUUAAACCAGGGAGGCUCACCGUCCUUGUGUCUGGGUUGGAAAUACAUGACUCCAGUUCUUUGCUCAUGCACAGGUUUGAAAGAGAAGACGUGGAUGACAUCAAGGUCCACUCACCUUAUGAAAUUAGCAUCCGCCAGCGGUUUAUUGGAAAGCCAGACAUGGCCUAUCGUUUGAUAUCUGCCAAGAUGCCAGAGGUUAUUCCCAUUUUAGAAGUGCAGUUCAGCAAGAAGAUGGAGCUGUUAGAAGAUGCAUUGGUGCUCAGAAGCGCAAGAACCUCUUCCCCCGCAGAGAAGAGCUGCUCAGUCUGGCAUGCAG